RNAcentral lists this non-coding RNA (27 nucleotides) under Rattus norvegicus (Norway rat). Lineage: Eukaryota; Metazoa; Chordata; Mammalia; Rodentia; Muridae. The record is from RNAcentral.
GAGUCAUUUCGUUUUACAGGGGGAAAA